UUUUGUUACAUCAUUUCAGGGGAAGAGUCAGCUGCCCUGCUCCUCUGUUCCAUGAUCCAUGGCUUUGCCAAUACUCAGUCAAUUUGGCAAAUGAGAUGGGGCAUCAUUUCCUGAUGGAGACACCUUUUGCUGCUAUGAUAUCUGGGGUUAUCAACAGAGUGAAAUAUCAUAAAGAAGUAAACAAGACUAAACCAGCAAUGCCAACUGCAGGGAGAAAACUUCUACUCAAGCAUCAGAGUUAGGUCUAUUUAUCUGCAUGGUAUUGGGUACUCAGCCAGUGAUAUUUCAAGGUAUGCCAGCAUUUUAGCCUUUAAAGCCUAAUUGCACUGAUCAUUUUACCAGGUAGAAUUUCAAUUCUUAUAACUAGAUCUUGGGCAAGUUACUUCCUGGAUUACUGCUCUCAAAAUUCCCCAUGCUUGCAGUACAGAAACAGAAGUGAACCCGGUUCAGCAAGACCUCUCCUUUCCCAGCCUCCUGGUUUAGCAACACCGUCUGCUGGAGCGCAACAGUUAUAAACAUGUUCACAAACUACUUUAUGUGAACCCAGAGUCAGCAGUGCAGUGACAGAGGAAACCUUCCAGAACGUCAUGGGAUUAUAUCUGGAUUGAUUUGUUUUAACCCUCAAUAUAGUGACCAUUAAGAGUAAUAAAAAUUACUUUCAA
Anolis carolinensis (green anole) is the source of this 662-nucleotide long non-coding RNA. RefSeq lists it as uncharacterized. The transcript has 2 exons. The record is from RefSeq and is a predicted model, not a curated record. NCBI's taxonomy places the organism in Eukaryota, Metazoa, Chordata, Lepidosauria, Squamata, Anolidae.